UACGGAGGGUGCAAGCGUUGUCCGGAUUUAUUGGGUUUAAAGGGUGCGUAGGCGGCUGUUUAAGUCAGUGGUGAAAGACUCCGGCUCAACCGGAGCAGUGCCAUUGAUACUGGAUAGCUUGAGUAUUGGAGGGGUACAUGGAAUUGAUGGUGUAGCGGUGAAAUGCAUAGAUACCAUCAGGAACACCGAUAGCGAAGGCAUUGUACUGGCCAAUAACUGACGCUGAUGCACGAAAGCAUGGGUAGCGAACAGG
RNAcentral lists this ribosomal RNA (253 nucleotides) under uncultured bacterium. Its description in RNAcentral is "partial 16S ribosomal RNA". It matches the Rfam family "Bacterial small subunit ribosomal RNA", at positions 524 to 776 of the family's 1533-position model. The record is from RNAcentral.